Molecule: transfer RNA, 72 nt
Filed under: Loxodonta africana (African savanna elephant)
Lineage: Eukaryota; Metazoa; Chordata; Mammalia; Proboscidea; Elephantidae
Rfam family: tRNA
About the family: Transfer RNA (tRNA) molecules are approximately 80 nucleotides in length.
Source: Rfam by way of RNAcentral
GCACCAGUGGUUCAGUGGUAGAAUUCUUUACCUUCCAUGCGGGAGACCUGGGUUCGAUUCCCAGCCAGUGUU